This 403-nucleotide ribosomal RNA is filed under the name uncultured bacterium. Its description in RNAcentral is "bacterial SSU rRNA". It matches the Rfam family "Bacterial small subunit ribosomal RNA", at positions 30 to 433 of the family's 1533-position model. The record is from RNAcentral.
AUUGAACGCUGGCGGCAGGCCUAACACAUGCAAGUCGAGCGGUAGAGAGGUGCUUGCAUCUCUUGAGAGCGGCGGACGGGUGAGUAAUGCCUAGGAAUCUGCCUAGUGGUGGGGGAUAACGUUCGGAAACGGACGCUAAUACCGCAUACGUCCUACGGGAGAAAGCGGGGGGAUCUUCGGACCUCGCGCCAUUAGAUGAGCCUAGGUCGGAUUAGCUAGUGGUGAGGUAAUGGCUCACCAAGGCGACGAUCCGUAACUGGUCUGAGAGGAUGAUCAGUCACACUGGAACUGAGACACGGUCCAGACUCCUACGGGAGGCAGCAGUGGGGAAUAUUGGACAAUGGGCGAAAGCCUGAUCCAGCCAUGCCGCGUGUGUGAAGAAGGUCUUCGGAUUGUAAAGUUC